RNAcentral lists this transfer RNA (72 nucleotides) under Methanosarcinales archaeon. Its description in RNAcentral is "tRNA-Cys". It matches the Rfam family "tRNA". Rfam says of the family: Transfer RNA (tRNA) molecules are approximately 80 nucleotides in length. RNAcentral also lists the same sequence under 3 other names. The record is from RNAcentral. Lineage: Archaea; Methanobacteriati; Methanobacteriota; Methanomicrobia; Methanosarcinales.
GCCAAGGUGGCGGAGCGGCUACGCAAUCGCCUGCAGAGCGAUCUCAUUCCGGUUCGAAUCCGGACCUUGGCU